GCUCGCGUCGCCGAGCGGAAUCCGGCCGAUGACGUCUUCCGUCGUCGCGUUGGUCACAUCGGCGCGGUCGGCGCCGUUCGGCUCGGUCCACUUGCC
This 96-nucleotide transfer RNA is filed under the name Caballeronia choica. Its description in RNAcentral is "tRNA-Lys". The record is from RNAcentral. Lineage: Bacteria; Pseudomonadati; Pseudomonadota; Betaproteobacteria; Burkholderiales; Burkholderiaceae.